Molecule: ribosomal RNA, 636 nt
Filed under: uncultured Actinomycetes bacterium
Lineage: Bacteria; Bacillati; Actinomycetota; Actinomycetes
Description: bacterial SSU rRNA
Rfam family: Bacterial small subunit ribosomal RNA
Source: RNAcentral
CAUGCAAGUCGAACGCUGAAGGCCCAGCUUGCUGGGUUGGAUGAGUGGCGAACGGGUGAGUAACACGUGAGUAACCUGCCCCCUUCUUUGGGAUAACGGUCGGAAACGGCUGCUAAUACCGGGUAUUCACUGUCCUUCGCAUGGGGGGUGGUGGAAAGGUUUUUUCUGGUGGGGGAUGGGCUCGCGGCCUAUCAGCUUGUUGGUGGGGUGAUGGCUUACCAAGGCUUUGACGGGUAACCGGCCUGAGAGGGUGACCGGUCACAUUGGGACUGAGAUACGGCCCAGACUCCUACGGGAGGCAGCAGUGGGGAAUAUUGCACAAUGGGCGAAAGCCUGAUGCAGCGACGCCGCGUGAGGGAUGACGGCCUUCGGGUUGUAAACCUCUUUCGCUCAUGGUCAAGCCGCAACAGUGGUUGUGGUGAGGGUAGUGGGUAAAGAAGCACCGGCUAACUACGUGCCAGCAGCCGCGGUAAUACGUAGGGUGCGAGCGUUGUCCGGAAUUAUUGGGCGUAAAGGGCUUGUAGGCGGUUUGUCGCGUCUGCCGUGAAAUCCUCUGGCUUAACUGGGGGCGUGCGGUGGGUACGGGCAGGCUUGAGUGCGGUAGGGGAGACUGGAACUCCUGGUGUAGCGGUGGAA